GAGAAAUUCAUAGAAGACUGCAAUUUUAGCUUUAGAACCGAAGUGCGUUUAGAUGUGUAUAAUAACAGGAUGCAGAGAGUUAAAUAUUUUGUGGAAACUUCGUAAAGAUUGAGAUCCAGAUAUCAACCAUUUUAGUAGGAAGAGUUUUUUUUUUUUUUUUCCUGGAACAUAUGGAACAAGUGAGUUUUUGUCGAGUUUGAGCGCUUAACACUUAGAUCAAAGAUCAAAGCCCCUUCGUUCCCCCGCUUGUUUAAUGCUUUUGCAAUAUGGGGGUUUGUUACAAAUGCUACCGUGCAAUGAUUUCAAUAUGCUUGUUAGUUUCUACUACAUCCAUAGAGAACGAAAUCUUGUUGUAAUGGGUUAGCAACGACAGAAAGCCAAUAACAAAAAGCAAAAGCAAAUGUGGGGAUCGGGAGAUCGAUUUGCUGUUGGGUUUUUCCUGAAUCUCUUGGGUGUUAGGUUCCUAGUUUUUUAUGGUUUCGUUCACGCAGAUUCUAUGAUUGUUUCAUUCAUGUACUGACUUUCGUCCUAAUUUCAUUUCACAGGUGAAAAAGGAGAUUGUUGAGGACCUAGCUUGGAGCAGAAUUUGCUGGGGAAUAUGAGAAUUACGGUUUUAAGGAGAGGUUAAUCUACCCACAACCAACCAAACCCCUAAUACUCCAACUUUAGAGAGCAAAAUUUUAAUACCCCCAUUAAGAGAAGGGGGGGAUUCUUAUGCGUUUGCCAAAGCUGUAAUGGUAUAACAGUAGCCUUUAGCAGUUAAAAGUUUUUUGUCAUUUCGUUUUGUGAUUUGUACAUAUGAAUGUGUGAAAUACAAUCAAAUUCUACCUCUUUGCAAGAAUCCCAUGAAAACAAAAGCUACAGCAAUUUAGGGGAAAAAGGAAGUGACGGGAUUGAAAAGAAGCUCAGCGACAAAUUAUGCACUCACCUUUCUUUUCAAACUUCUACUAUAUUUGUAGAAGGGGUAAUGUUUUGUUCUCUAGAUAUUGGUUAAAACUUAAAAGAUUAUUUAAUUACUAGUUUAAGACCUUAUUUAAUAUUUAAUAAUUUUUUGAACUUAAAAUUUUAUUAAUAUCAUCUUAAUUAGUAUCAUUGGACAUGGAAAAUAUUUCCUUAGGGCACGUUUGGUUCGCUGUAUUGGAUUAGAGGCGUAUUGGAUUAGAGGUGUAUUGGAUUAGAGGUGUAAUAGCUAAUCCACUGUUUGGUUGAAUGUAAUGGAAUAGAGGCGUAAUAGUAAUCUUGUGUUUGGUUGAAUGGAAUAGAGGUGUAAUAGCAUAAUAGAAAAAACUAAAAUAACUAGA
This 1301-nucleotide long non-coding RNA is filed under the name Gossypium barbadense (sea-island cotton). Its description in RNAcentral is "long non-coding RNA (GBAR_LNC023363)". Lineage: Eukaryota; Viridiplantae; Streptophyta; Magnoliopsida; Malvales; Malvaceae. The record is from RNAcentral.